ACUGUCUAUGAUGAUGCUUAUCCUACAUUGUUCGAGUUUAACUACCAUGAGAAAACUUGACAUGCACUACCAUCUGAGACGGC
Molecule: small nucleolar RNA, 83 nt
Organism: Lepisosteus oculatus (spotted gar)
Lineage: Eukaryota; Metazoa; Chordata; Actinopteri; Semionotiformes; Lepisosteidae
Source: Ensembl